GAUGAACGCUGGCGGCGUGCCUAAUACAUGCAAGUCGAGCGAACGGACGAGAAGCUUGCUUCUCUGAUGUUAGCGGCGGACGGGUGAGUAACACGUGGAUAACCUACCUAUAAGACUGGGAUAACUUCGGGAAACCGGAGCUAAUACCGGAUGAUAUUUUGAACCGCAUGGUUCAAAAGUGAAAGACGGUCUUGCUGUCACUUAUAGAUGGAUCCGCGCUGCAUUAGCUAGUUGGUAAGGUAACGGCUUACCAAGGCAACGAUGCAUAGCCGACCUGAGAGGGUGAUCGGCCACACUGGAACUGAGACACGGUCCAGACUCCUACGGGAGGCAGCAGUAGGGAUUCUUCCGCAAUGGGCGAAAGCCUGACGGAGCAACGCCGCGUGAGUGAUGAAGGUCUUCGGAUCGUAAAACUCUGUUAUUAGGGAAGAACAUAUGUGUAAGUAACUGUGCACAUCUUGACGGUACCUAAUCAGAAAGCCACGGCUAACUACGUG
This 497-nucleotide ribosomal RNA is filed under the name uncultured bacterium. RNAcentral describes it as "partial 16S ribosomal RNA". It matches the Rfam family "Bacterial small subunit ribosomal RNA", at positions 28 to 507 of the family's 1533-position model. The record is from RNAcentral.